UACGGGGGGAGCAAGCGUUGUUCGGAUUUACUGGGCGUAAAGGGCGCGUAGGCGGCCACCGCAAGUCAAUUGUGAAAUCUCCGGGCUUAACUCGGAAAGGUCAACUGAUACUGCGGGGCUAGAGUGCGGAAGGGGCAACUGGAAUUCUCGGUGUAGCGGUGAAAUGCGUAGAUAUCGAGAGGAACACCUGCGGCGAAGGCGGGUUGCUAGGCUGACACUGACGCUGAAGCGCGAAAGCUAGGGUAGCAAACGGG
Molecule: ribosomal RNA, 254 nt
Filed under: uncultured bacterium
Lineage: Bacteria
Description: partial 16S ribosomal RNA
Rfam family: Bacterial small subunit ribosomal RNA
Source: RNAcentral